RNA transcript from Gadus chalcogrammus (walleye pollock), 5214 nucleotides. RefSeq lists it as uncharacterized. The record is from RefSeq and is a predicted model, not a curated record. NCBI's taxonomy places the organism in Eukaryota, Metazoa, Chordata, Actinopteri, Gadiformes, Gadidae. The transcript is spliced from 6 exons.
GUGGAUGUCUGCAGCUAGACUCUCUUGUAAACCGGAGCAUUUCUUGGAAAUGGUGUGACUUCAAAUAAUGAGCUAGCCACCCCCCCUCCUGGGUGUAGCCCACCCAGCUCAGCUUUAAGAGGCGCCGUAGAGAGACUGAGCUCUCAUCCUGCACUCAGUCGGAACAGCCAAGGUCUACCCGGAGCUGGUCUUAUUUCUGUGUUGAAGGCUGAACCUGGACCUGGGCCAGACCGAUACAACCAGAAAAUCUACGGAAACGUGCGACUUCAGUGCAUCUGCUCAACAACCCAUCACACCAACUGACUAACCAGGGAAACCAAUGUGAUCACACCAGGGAUAUUUCUACGAGGAUCAACCUGGUUUCAGAGAGGGAACAAACUGUUGAUUGUCAGGGCUAACCUUCCUGCUAUCUUCACAACCACUCAGAAGAUCUUAUAACUGCUUGAAUUUGUCAGAAUUCUGAGAAGUUUACAAAUAUUGCUACAAUGUUUAAUACUGUUAAAACAUUGUUUUCGUCCAAACCUAAGCGGUUGGCAAUAGCUGUUAAAAUAGAAGGCAAUAAGAUUAACGGACCUUCAGGUACUCUGGACGUCUACGCUCUUCCUCUGGAAGCCCAGUCCAUGGAGGUAGAGGGGUGUCAGUGCUCCUUAUUUGGACAAGAGUUUAGUAAAAAGAACCGCACCAUCAUGUUUCUAGGAGCCACUGGGGCGGGGAAGUCCACCCUGGUCAACAGGAUGAUCAACUACAUCCUGGGGGUAGAAUGGGAUGAUACCUUUAGAUUUAAGUUGGUAGACGAAAGCACGGCCAGGUCUCAGACUCAAAGCCAGACCUCUGAAGUCAACGUGUACAAGCUCUACCACCAAGAGGGCUUCAAGAUCGACUACUCCCUGACUAUUGUGGACACUCCGGGUUUCGGAGACACGAGAGGCAUAGCGAGAGAUAAGUUGAUUAUGACUCAGCUAGAAAAUGUAUUCUCGGCUAAAUCUGGGAUCAGAGAGAUUGAUGCAAUCUGCUUCGUGGCCCCAGCGUUUCUUUCUCGGCUUACGCCAACACAGAAAUACAUCUUUGAAUCAGUGCUCGCCAUAUUUGGCAAAGACGUGGCAGAGAACAUCCGGAUUUUGGUGACAUUUGCAGAUUUCAAAAAACCUUUGGUUCUCGAGGCGAUCAAAGAGUCCGGGCUCCCAUGUCCUACAGAGGAAAAUGGUUUACCAAUUCACUUCAAAUUCAAUAACUCUGACAAAAUGACACCUGGUGCAAACAACGAAGAUGAGGACAGUGACGAUGGAGUAAUUGAUUGGGAUAAAAAGCUUUGGGACAUGGGAACCAAAAACAUGAACAAAUUCUUUUCUGCUCUGAACGUCAUUGAGACCAAGAGCUUGACCUUAACCACGGAGGUGCUCAGACAGAGAGCCCAGCUGCAGAUCUCCAUUGAGGAUUUCAAUAGGAAGGUGAAAUUUGGGUUAACUAAACUCGAGGAGAUUAAAAAAGAAUCUGAAUCUCUCAAAGAUCACGAAUCAACGAUCAAAGCCAAUGGGGAUUUUUAUUAUUUCGUCAAUGUCCCAAGGCCUGUUAAAGUUAAAUGCAGUACAUCAUCACUUAACUGUGGGACAUGUGAUGUCACUUGCCACAAAUCUUGCGGGAAAGUUUGGGGAUUCCUUUAUUUUUGUGAAGCCUUUGACGGGUGGGCUAACUGUGUUAUAUGCGAACGCAAGUGCGCUAAAAGAAACCAUGUCUUUAAUGAUUACUACUGGGAUACCGAGACAGUGGCAGAGAAACGAACCUACAAGGAGGUGAAAGAAAAGUAUGAGUUGGCCUCUAAGGAAGCAAUGUCCAUUGAAGACAUCAUCAAACAGAUGGAGCUGGAGUACGACCACCUACAGGACGAGGUGGUCAAGCUGAUGGAGCGCUCAGCCCAGUGUCUCAACACCCUGAAGGAGAUCGCUCUGAGGCCCGAUCCACUCUCAACAACUGAAUACAUCGACCUACUGAUUGGGCAAGAGAAGUCAGACCACAAGCAUGGCUUCAUGGAGCGCAUCGAGAAACUCGAGGACAUGAAGAGAAAUGCCAUUACCAUUGAGAAGGUUGCUAGCGGGGCCCCACUUGGGUCCAUUUAUUAACAUGUCCUUUACAUAUUGAGGCUUUUGAUUUGAUUUAAUUUCAAGGAUGCUCUUGAUGAGAAUUAACAGAGUAAUGCAAUUGCUAGAAAUUAAACAUGUUGGUAAAAAUGUUUUGUUUUAAACAUUCUUUCUUAUCGGGUAUUGGCAGAGUAAAUUGCAUAAAAACACUAUGAUGUGUGAAUGCAUUUUCCUAAUUCAAAAAGAGGAGCGUUCUUCCUUGCUUCACUGGUUUGUUUAUCUUAGAUGCUGUGUGUGUGUGUGUGUGUGGAGCCCCCCCACCCCACCCCCUCUCUCUUUUCGUUAAUCUGGACCUGACAACCUGUUCGCUCUCUGGCUGAGAUAGCAUUGAGUGAGACUUCUCGGAUUCGCUCAGUCUAGAUCACGAUGUUGAAAUGAGAAAAUAUGGAGGAGUUCAUUACCCUGAUUGUGAUUUUGGUUUCUUUUGUUCUGUUUACUUUAUAUGCUUGGCAGCACUCCCCACUCCAGCUGGAACACUGAGUCACUGAGUGUAUUGACUUGCUGCUUCUUUAUCCUGAUUUUUCAAAUUAAUUGUGCAAAUUCUUACGUGUACUUGAAACGCACAUUGGAUUAUGGCUGUGAUGUACUUUCAUCAUGAGAUAAAGAUAUUUCUUAUUAUUUUUAAAUUCAUGGUUUGUUGUGUUCUUCAUCAGUAGUUUAUUAAUGUAGAUGUUAUGGCAAUUCAUGAUGCAUUAUUUUUAAGUUUGGGUCCCGGGGAAACACAUAUUUCUCCUUUGGGUCUUGAAGUGAAAAGGUUUGGAACCCCUGUAUUAGAGGACAAGAACCAAGGCUCUAAAACCAUAUUUACUAAAGCAUAAUCAUGUUGAAGCAUGCAUGUUAACUAAAAGAGAAAUAAAGAUUAAUACAAUGAUCUGUGUUUACUUUAAACCUUUUUAUUAAUUGAUGCCCAUUGUAUAUUCUCAGAUAUUUGUUUGAAGUUGUCCUUUGCAGGCUUCCCCUUCGGUUCAGUAUAAAAAAGUUCAUGAAACCACCAGCAGGUGGCGAAAACAGUCUCGUGUUAGUUUUGUGUUAACUUUGUAUAACAGACGCUAACAUUUAUCGCCCCCAGCCGCAGCCCUUCAUUUUUAUGUCGAAUGUACAAUUUCCCAAUUGAUAAACACUGUACGUGUCCCUCACACUGCAUUAAUCCAAUAGGGUCAAAUAUCCAACACAACAUAUUCUCUGGAACAGAAAUAAUUGACAAAUAUAAAUUACAAAAUGUGUCUCCUUAAAUAAUAACACCUUAUGUGGGACAUGAACUGGUUUUGUUUUCCCCUUACCCGCCGAUCCAUUUCCCAUUCCCCAUACUUGGCCUAUAAUAAUAGUAAUAGAUUCAAUUUAUAUAGCGCUUUUCACGUAGGCUACUCAAAGCGCUUUACAUAGGGGCACAAAAAUAGAUAAACAAGAAAAAAAAAGAAGUUGAUGGGGCUAGGGAUAGUGAGUGAUCUAGGGGUAGGCAGAGGAGAAGAGAUGAGUCUUGAGGCGGGACUGGAAGAUGGUGAGGGACUCAGAGUCACGAAUAUGUUGGGGGAGGGAGUUCCAGAGCCUGGGAGAUGUCCUGGGGCCGGUUGCACCAACUGGGCGUAAGCCUGGUCGUAACUACGCCUGGUCGUAACUUGGCGUUGUCCAACCUAACCGUUACGUCGGUUGCACCAACUGGGCUUAGCGUUCUUUUCACUAAGACCAAGGCGUAAAUCCUACGCCUGGUCAGGGGCAGGCGUAGAGUUGAAAUUUCUGCUGUUUCCAUAGCAAUUACAAUAAAAAAAAAAACGUUACAAUCAAUCCAUCCAGCGCUAAUAUGGCACGUAUUAUCCAUAGGUUGUACAACGAGCGGGCAUUUAGACGGGAAAGGGUAAUUAGGGACAGAAGCAAUCCAUUGGACAUUUAUAAUGACGAGGAGCUGAUUGAGAGGUUUCGAUUCUGUAGGAGAGAUCUGUUUGAAUUAAUAGAAGAGCUGUCACCGGAUUUACAGUUCGUGUCGGACCGCAAUGCAGCGCUACCACCGUCCUUGCAACUGCUGAUUGCGCUUUGUUUUUUCGCAAACGGGGCUUUUCAGAACACAGUAAGCGACAUGGUGAGGGUCCAUAGAUCGACCGCCUGUCGGGUUAUCCGGAGGGUUUCCCUGGCUUUGAGCCGCCGCAUCGCUCGUUACGUCCACCUCCCGAACGAGGAAGAGGCGGCGGCGAUGAAGGAACGGUUCCGCCAGGCGUCCGGUAUGCCUGGGAUCGUGGGCUGCAUAGACGGGACACAUGUGCAGAUCCAGGCCCCACAUGAGAACGAGUAUUUGUACGUUAAUCGAAAAGGUUACCAUUCGAUUAACGUACAAAUAGCUUGUGACGCAAAUUAUAACAUCAUUAAUUUGGUGGCGAGAUGGCCUGGAUCCACCCACGAUUCCCGCAUCCUCCGGGAGAGUGCGUUAUUGCAGGACUUCGAGGAAGGAAGGUGCAACGGGCUGCUCCUCGGGGACAGUGGAUACCCGCUGAAACGGUGGCUGAUGACCCCGCUAAUUGCUCCAACAACUGACCAAGAACGGAGGUAUAACACCAUACACUCCGCAACUAGGUCAGUUGUUGAGAGAUGUAUCGGGGUUCUCAAACGCAGGUUUCACUGUCUUCAUGGGGAGAUGCGGAUGCACCCAGAACGGGUCUGCACUGUAAUAGCAGCGUGCACAGUUCUGCACAACAUUUGCAUCGCCAAAAUAAUCCCUCUCCCCAGACACCAUCAGCCACCGGCAGUCCCCGAGGAAGAUGUGCGUCAAGCCACUCGGCCUGAGGACAUCGCUGGCCGAUUAGUCCGUGCUCAGCUCAUUAAUCAGUUGUAAAUAUUGUUUUAAUUAUGUUUUUUAUAGGCCGAGACGAACUGUAAAUCCGGUGACAGCUCUUCUAUUUAUUCGAACAUAUCUCUCCUACAGAAUCGAAACACCUCAAUUAGCUCCUUGUCAUUUGAUGAUGUUCACUGCAUUGCUUCUGUCAAAAAUAACCAUUCCCGUCUAAAUGCCUGCUCGUUGUAUUUUAUUGUUAUGCAUUAAAAAAAUUUAUGAACGAAAAUGAAUGAAAGAAUGAUUGGAAGGAAUAUUUAU